This 78-nucleotide transfer RNA is filed under the name Rhodopirellula sp. RNAcentral describes it as "tRNA-Leu". It matches the Rfam family "tRNA". Rfam says of the family: Transfer RNA (tRNA) molecules are approximately 80 nucleotides in length. Their secondary structure includes four short double-helical elements and three loops (D, anti-codon, and T loops). The record is from RNAcentral. Lineage: Bacteria; Pseudomonadati; Planctomycetota; Planctomycetia; Pirellulales; Pirellulaceae.
GGCACGGUACGCAAACCGGCAAAGCGGCCAACUUCAAAACUUGGUGAUCGUCUGUGGGUUCGAUUCCCACCCGUGCCA